UGCAAGUCGAGCGGAGUGAUGGUGCUUGCACUAUCACUUAGCGGCGGACGGGUGAGUAAUGCUUAGGAAUCUGCCUAUUAGUGGGGGACAACAUUUCGAAAGGAAUGCUAAUACCGCAUACGUCCUACGGGAGAAAGCAGGGGAUCUUCGGACCUUGCGCUAAUAGAUGAGCCUAAGUCGGAUUAGCUAGUUGGUGGGGUAAAGGCCUACCAAGGCGACGAUCUGUAGCGGGUCUGAGAGGAUGAUCCGCCACACUGGGACUGAGACACGGCCCAGACUCCUACGGGAGGCAGCAGUGGGGAAUAUUGGACAAUGGGCGCAAGCCUGAUCCAGCCAUGCCGCGUGUGUGAAGAAGGCCUUAUGGUUGUAAAGCACUUUAAGCGAGGAGGAGGCUACUGAAGUUAAUACCUUCAGAUAGUGGACGUUACUCGCAGAAUAAGCACCGGCUAACUCUGUGCCAGCAGCCGCGGUAAUACAGAGGGUGCAAGCGUUAAUCGGAUUUACUGGGCGUAAAGCGCGCGUAGGCGGCUAAUUAAGUCAAAUGUGAAAUCCCCGAGCUUAACUUGGGAAUUGCAUUCGAUACUGGUUAGCUAGAGUGUGGGAGAGGAUGGUAGAAUUCCAGGUGUAGCGGUGAAAUGCGUAGAGAUCUGGAGGAAUACCGAUGGCGAAGGCAGCCAUCUGGCCUAACACUGACGCUGAGGUGCGAAAGCAUGGGGAGCAAACAGGAUUAGAUACCCUGGUAGUCCAUGCCGUAAACGAUGUCUACUAGCCGUUGGGGCCUUUGAGGCUUUAGUGGCGCAGCUAACGCGAUAAGUAGACCGCCUGGGGAGUACGGUCGCAAGACUAAAACUCAAAUGAAUUGACGGGGGCCCGCACAAGCGGUGGAGCAUGUGGUUUAAUUCGAUGCAACGCGAAGAACCUUACCUGGCCUUGACAUAGUAAGAACUUUCCAGAGAUGGAUUGGUGCCUUCGGGAACUUACAUACAGGUGCUGCAUGGCUGUCGUCAGCUCGUGUCGUGAGAUGUUGGGUUAAGUCCCGCAACGAGCGCAACCCUUUUCCUUAUUUGCCAGCGAGUAAUGUCGGGAACUUUAAGGAUACUGCCAGUGACAAACUGGAGGAAGGCGGGGACGACGUCAAGUCAUCAUGGCCCUUACGGCCAGGGCUACCACCGUGCUACAAUGGUCGGUACAAAGGGUUGCUACCUAGCGAUAGGAUGCUAAUCUCAAAAAGCCGAUCGUAGUCC
RNAcentral lists this ribosomal RNA (1244 nucleotides) under Acinetobacter calcoaceticus. RNAcentral describes it as "bacterial SSU rRNA". It matches the Rfam family "Bacterial small subunit ribosomal RNA", at positions 56 to 1294 of the family's 1533-position model. The record is from RNAcentral. Lineage: Bacteria; Pseudomonadati; Pseudomonadota; Gammaproteobacteria; Moraxellales; Moraxellaceae.